This 253-nucleotide ribosomal RNA is filed under the name uncultured bacterium. Its description in RNAcentral is "partial 16S ribosomal RNA". It matches the Rfam family "Bacterial small subunit ribosomal RNA", at positions 524 to 776 of the family's 1533-position model. The record is from RNAcentral.
UACAGAGGUGGCAAGCGUUGUUCGGAAUUACUGGGCGUAAAGGGCGCGUAGGCGGCCUUGUAAGUCUCGUGUGAAAGCCCUCGGCUUAACUGAGGAUCUGCACGGGAUACUGCGAGGCUUGAGUUCGGGAGAGGAAAGCGGAAUUCCGGGUGUAGCGGUGAAAUGCGUAGAUAUCAGGAGGAAUACCGGUGGCGAAGGCAGGUCUCUGGGCCAUAACUGACGCUGAGAAGCGAAAGCAUGGGGAGCGAACAGG